Molecule: small nuclear RNA, 107 nt
Organism: Lutra lutra (Eurasian river otter)
Lineage: Eukaryota; Metazoa; Chordata; Mammalia; Carnivora; Mustelidae
Source: RefSeq, a predicted model, not a curated record
GUGCUAACUUCAGCAGCAUAUAUACUAAAGUUAGAAUGAUACAGGGAAAAUUAGCAUGACUCCAGAGCAAGGAUGACAUGCAAAUUCGUGAAGCCUUCCACAUUCUU